UAUAGAACCACUAGUAACUCAUAGACUCUUCCUGUUAUGUGAAAUAAAUGAAGACCAGCCAACUAAGAAAGGCAAAGGCUAUGUAUUCUGAGCUCAUCUGGAUCAGAGGAGUCAGCACUGUCAUUUGUGUUUGGCAGAGACUGAAAGGCAGCACUUCAAAUGCAUCAAAGGUCCAGAGAGAAGCUUCUUCUGGUCACCUUGAUCUUGUGAUGCAAGGCAGGUGGGAGCAAGGGCUCCACCUCUGCAGACACAGAGAUGACGGGGUCGCCAUGCCGGCGUUUUAGUCCCGGUUUCCUCUGCUCGAGUAGUUGGUGGCCUCCUGCCUGUUCCCUAACAUAACUUCACUUUCCUUACCUGCAAAACGAAAUUAGUAUUUCCUCCCUCACAAGGUGCUUGAUGCCCUUCCCCUUGCGUUUACUUUGCCUGAGAGACUAUAUCAUAUCUAUGAUUUUGUGAAUGGGGCAAAAGGAAUUGAGAGUGUCAGGGUAUACCUUAUAAAUAAGCCACUAAAGGUUACAUCCUCAUUCCACAAACUGACCUAAACAAUUUGGCUGUCACUAAUAGAUUAUUUUGGUCAGUUAUGGCAUUUAGAGGGAGAAGAGAGAGUAUAUAUAUAUGG
RNAcentral lists this long non-coding RNA (619 nucleotides) under Homo sapiens (human). RNAcentral describes it as "HSALNT0355973". The record is from RNAcentral. Lineage: Eukaryota; Metazoa; Chordata; Mammalia; Primates; Hominidae.